AUGGUCGUAUCACGUUGAAACACAGGUUCUAGUACGAUCACCGAAGUUAAGCAACGUCGGGCCUGGUCAAUACCUAGAUGAGAGACUGUUUGGGAAUUCCAGGUGCUGUAAG
This is a non-coding RNA of Acanthosepion pharaonis, 112 nucleotides long. Lineage: Eukaryota; Metazoa; Mollusca; Cephalopoda; Sepiida; Sepiidae. The record is from the annotation of a GenBank genome assembly.